AACUUUAAAUAUGGGUGAGGCACAUAGCACUAAAUACAUCAUUUGAUGCAACAGUAUUUAUACACGAAAGAAGAGCUGUAAAAAACAUUAUCUCUAGAGAAAGGAGAUUGAGAAAACAAAGUUGGCACUGAAUAAGCAAUUUUGUGGUUACAACCGAAUACCAUAAUGUGUGAUCGCCCUACAGGUCAGCCACAGGUCUGCCCUCCUGCCCCGACUUCUGGUGGCUGUUAUGUUAUGCCUCCAGGUGAACCCCCAAAAGGACAGGGGCAUGAACACGGGCAAGGGCACUGUCAUGGAGAAGGGCAUGGGCAUGAACAAGGACAUGGUCAUGGACGUGGUCGCGGACGUGGUCACGGGCGUGGUCACGGGCAUGAACAUGGUCACGGGCAUGAACAUGGUCAUGGGCCUGAGCAAGGGAAACAUCAGGAAAAGCAGUAAGAGAAUCAGGAGCUAUUCCAGAAGGACCUGCAUUAUACAGAUAAGCAUUAUGUCUCACAAAGUGAUUCAAACAGAGGUGGAAGACCAAAGAGGACCCAACCCAAAAGCCAAGCCAGAUUUAAAAAACUAAUAUAAAGCCUAUUGCCUCUGUGCCACCUUAAUCUACUUUUAUGUUUCAUCGUCUAUCAGUUGUUGAGUUGAAUUUUUCGCAUGGGGGAUGGCAUUGAUUAUGCUUAAAAGAUGAGUAUUUACUGACACAAGUAAAUAUCAUCUAUUGUAAGUCACAAAGUAGGCGGAGUACAGUAGAAGUAAGAACAAGUGCACAUUCUUGGAAUUAAAUUUGGAGUUUUAUUCUUACUUCUGCUGUACUCCGCCUUCUUUGUGACUUACAUUAUAUCUACUCUACGGAACUACAGCGUUUGCUUGCUGAGCAGUGGAUUUUAUUUUAUUUUAUUAAAUAUCUUCUAUGUCAAAUCCAUGUACCUACAAAGCUUCUAAAUUGGGCAAGCCCUGUAGUAUAAUAGAUUAUGUUUACCAGUUUAAAGCUAAUGUUAUUCUAGAGCUGUGAAGAAUCAGUUUAUUUUUGUAUUCUCUAGUACGUGUUGUAUACUGUACCAUCUACAGCGAAAUCCUGUUUACCAGAUAGAUACAGCUCUUAGAUAUCUUUAAUGCUAUCAUUAACUCUGUAUACUUUGCUAAAAUUAAACACCUCAUCAAAAAGCAGGCAUUCUUAUUUGCUAUGGUGUAAUACUGAUUUAAAAUAUAUCUAUGAAAUAUACUUAAUAAAAUGAUCCACAUAAACAAAA
This is a long non-coding RNA of Protopterus annectens (West African lungfish), 1244 nucleotides long. RefSeq lists it as uncharacterized. The transcript is spliced from 4 exons. The record is from RefSeq and is a predicted model, not a curated record. NCBI's taxonomy places the organism in Eukaryota, Metazoa, Chordata, Ceratodontiformes, Protopteridae.